ACUCACACCAACCAUUAGCCCACAAUGGACAAAGUCAACAUGUUCUGAUGCUGACUGAAGGCUACAAAAGUGAAGAGAUUUUUUUAAAGGUUCUUACCUGAAGCGCUCCUGGCCUGCCGUGUCCCAGAGCUGCAGCUUUAUCUUCACCCCGGGUUCGAUGUCGAGGGAGCGGGCGUAGAAAUCCACGCCGACCGUGGGAUCCGCCACAUCACUGUAGAUCCCGUCCGUGAAGCGCUUCAGCAGCGACGACUUCCCCACCGUGGAGUCCCCGAGCAGGAUGAUCCUGAACUGGUAUUGCCACAAAAUAUCCAUGGCAUGACGAGAGGACAGGGUGUCAAAGAACUGUCUCCGUCUCUGUCUCCCUCUGUGUGUGUGUGUGUGUGUGUGUGUGAGAAACAAAGCCCUGUGUGGAGCUGUGUUUACAUGGAGCUCAGUCUUCUUCUUCUACUGCUGCUCACGGAGCGGCCGCAGCACUGGUCAUGUGACUCCCUCACCUUUAGCUCCACUCCUAUAAAACCCGCUGAAUGAGUCGAUUGUGUGUUAAGAAAUGUUUGCAGGAUAAUCUGGAUUUAAAGUCACACGGAAACACAGCUGAGGUUUUAUUGUUACUGUUCUAAUUGCUGUUGAUGUUGUGCACAGUCAGUCUUUUGUCUCUGUCGCGAGGCUCAGUCUGAUUUGGUCAUUUUUAAUAUAAGCACUGACGUGAAACUGCGAUAUUUAACAACUGUUUGCUAAAGCAGACGCACGCACGCACGCACGCACACACACACACAUACACAGAGGAGGAGACAGGCUGCUGUCCGUGGUUCUGAAGUGGGACAACAGACACCCCACUUCCGGCUUUGCUCUCGCUCCAUAAUGUCAUUAUUGUGUCACUAUAAACAUAUAAUUAUGUAUUUUCUGUCAAUAUGUACUUCUAUUUAAAAAGUGUUGCAUUAAAAAGUAAAAAAAAAGCCCGAAAUACAACGGAUUCGUAAAAAAAUAAAGUUAGAACACUACAUCUCCCAUCAUGCAAGUGGUGCGCGCGUGACCUACCCGGGCCAAUCAGAGAGCAGCUGCUCGGAACUAGCCUGUAUAAAAUGGGAUGGGAACCGCCUUCCGUUCUCUUCUUCUUCAUGUUCUCCGUGAGGUGGAACCCAACCUGACAUUUGACAAUGGUUAAACCAGUCAUGGCUCAAUCAAACCACUCCCAGUGUGGAAGACUGCAUCCAAAACCGGUUUUUGUUUUUGGAUGACACAGAGCCCAAAGUAGAGGAACAACGUCACUUAAAUGCUUUCAUUUUUGGAUGACACGGAACCCAAAGUAGAGGAACAACAUCACUUAAAUGUGACCAUGACUGAAAAACAAGUGGCCAGAUGAGGAUGACUGGUGUGAAGACAUUACUCAGGCUCAUGAGUUGAAGUUCUUCAGGCUGUUUUGGCUCUAUGGUCGUCUUCCUAGUUUAAAGGUGAGGAUGUGUUGGACCACAGGAAGUCUGGACCUGCUGCAGGCCCUGGAAGAAACAUGUAGACUGUCAUGUAAAUGAGUGCAGAGAUGGAACUGUUUAAAGAGAAAUAAAAGUUUGAAACAUGAA
This is a long non-coding RNA of Solea solea (common sole), 1574 nucleotides long. RefSeq lists it as uncharacterized. The transcript has 9 exons. The record is from RefSeq and is a predicted model, not a curated record. NCBI's taxonomy places the organism in Eukaryota, Metazoa, Chordata, Actinopteri, Pleuronectiformes, Soleidae.